This is a long non-coding RNA of Salvelinus fontinalis (brook trout), 322 nucleotides long. RefSeq lists it as uncharacterized. Lineage: Eukaryota; Metazoa; Chordata; Actinopteri; Salmoniformes; Salmonidae. The record is from RefSeq and is a predicted model, not a curated record. The transcript is spliced from 2 exons.
GCGAGCGCAGCAGUCUACCGUCUCUCAACUCUCUCUCUUCGUCUCUUUCCCCGUCUGACAGUAGGAUAAAUUAUGGAGUAGAAAGAGACCUCGUCUCUCUUAGGUGAAGAAGAAGUGUCUGGCGUUUGUCUAUUCGCCCUCUCUGUGGUCCGUGGGAAGGCAUGACACGUGAAAAGUGCUGAAAUAUUCAGCUCCAGUGCGGCUCAGGAAUGCCAAGCUGGGAGACGCCGUGGUCUCUGCGUUCCCUGCUAAAAAAGUGUGUCGAGGGGUUUCCUUGUUAUUUGUCUCUCCCCAACUGAAGAGAAAUAAAGCAGAUUAAUUU